GAUGAACGCUGGCGGUGUGCCUAAUACAUGCAAGUCGAACGGGCUCUUCGGAGCUAGUGGCGGACGGGUGAGUAACACGUUGGUACCUACCCUCUAGUGGGGAAUAACUGGCCGAAAGGUCGGCUAAUACCGCAUAAUACCGCAAGGUUAAAGCAGUAAUGCGCUAGAGGAGGGGCCUGCGUCCGAUUAGCUAGUUGGUAGUGUAAUGGACUACCAAGGCGACGAUCGGUAGCUGGAUCGAGAGGUUGACCAGCCACACUGGGGACUGAGAUACGGCCCAGACUCCUACGGGAGGCAGCAGUAAGGAAUCUUCCANAAUGGACGAAAGUCUGAUGGAGCAACACCGCGUGCAGGAUGACGGCC
RNAcentral lists this ribosomal RNA (363 nucleotides) under uncultured bacterium. RNAcentral describes it as "bacterial SSU rRNA". It matches the Rfam family "Bacterial small subunit ribosomal RNA", at positions 28 to 416 of the family's 1533-position model. The record is from RNAcentral.